This 1168-nucleotide long non-coding RNA is filed under the name Panax ginseng (ginseng). Its description in RNAcentral is "long non-coding RNA (PGIN_LNC013722)". Lineage: Eukaryota; Viridiplantae; Streptophyta; Magnoliopsida; Apiales; Araliaceae. The record is from RNAcentral.
UUUUUUUCUUCUAAAUUUGUUUGUAUAUAAAUAUGCAAAAACACGGAUAUUACAUUAAAGAUCAUAUCGGGUUAAAGCACCCAGACUAGGAAAAACAAUUGCCUAACCUAAUUGAAAUCAUCCUCACAACCCGACCCGAGGUUAGGCAACAUUUAGCUUAACUAAAAAUUAGCUAUAAAAAUAAAACCCACGUGAGCCUCAAAAUUAGCCUGAUUAGUACCCCACGUGUGAAUCCAACGAAAGACAUCAGCAUUUUAAAAUUGGGUGGACCCCAAUUGUGUUUUCCAAGAACAGCAACACACUGCCCAGUGCAGCCACCGUCCGGCGAAAGAACAGAACAGCAAAACAACCACCGACAGAUAAAGCGGCAACGAACCACCAUGAAAGCUGGCAGCAUAAUCGGAGUAACACAGAUCCAGACAGCAAACCAGCUACUCAUAUCAAGACCAAAAUGAGAAAGGAACCAGAAUCCGGCUAAACAAACCAAUCGAAAUUGGCAAUGAACAUCCAAAUCUAAAAUUUAAAAAUAAACUAUAGAAGCAAGCACUCAGAUUCGAAGAACACACGGUAACCAUAUGCUUAAAACAGAGCUAAGAUGGAAUAACCGGCCCCAAAAUAGGACCAAAUCAAAACACACUAACUGAUUUAAUCGGAGAAAAUUAAUAAGUGAAAGCACAAGAAUCAGUUAGGAACAACAAAAAAUUGGUACUAUUACAACCAAGAAUUCCAAAUCUAAGCAAUACAAAUAAAGCAAUAAGAACUGCUUGAACCCAGAUCGGAACAAACAAACGCUAGAAUCAUAGGACCCCAAACCCUAGAAUUCGGUAGGCCAAUUCAAGGUCUAAUAACGGAAUCAUCAGACCUGUAAACCAUCAUCCAAAGCUAGAAAUACAUCAUUAAGAAGCCAACCAUGUUUGAGCCAACCAAACCGGAGCCAACCGCCAUCGAAACCCCCAAACAAGAUCAAAACAUAAUGCCUAACCAUCAGAGCUCCCCCUACAAGGCUAAUCGUAGAAAACCAUAACCAUCAAACCCUCGGCCUCGGCAACAGGUCGGUCGGAAAGGGAGCUGUUCGGAAAGUUCUUGUUUGGGCAACCAAGUUAACCAUAUUAAAUAAUAGAAAGAAAUCAACCAAAUAAAAUAUAUUUAACUUCACAAUUAUAAAAUG